AAUUUCGGUCCGGGAUGGGCUCGCGGCCUAUCAGCUAGUUGGUGAGGUAAUGGCUCACCAAGGCGUCGACGGGUAGCCGGCCUGAGAGGGUGACCGGCCACACUGGGACUGAGACACGGCCCAGACUCCUACGGGAGGCAGCAGUGGGGAAUAUUGCACAAUGGGCGAAAGCCUGAUGCAGCAACGCCGCGUGAGGGAUGACGGCCUUCGGGUUGUAAACCUCUUUUAGCAGGGAAGAAGCGAAAGUGACGGUACCUGCAGAAAAAGCGCCGGCUAACUACGUGCCAGCAGCCGCGGUAAUACGUAGGGCGCAAGCGUUAUCCGGAAUUAUUGGGCGUAAAGAGCUCGUAGGCGGUUUGUCGCGUCUGCUGUGAAAACCCGAGGCUCAACCUCGGGCCUGCAGUGGGUACGGGCAGACUAGAGUGCGGUAGGGGAGAUUGGAAUUCCUGGUGUAGCGGUGGAAUGCGCAGAUAUCAGGAGGAACACCGAUGGCGAAUGCAGAUCUCUGGGCCGUAACUGACGCUGAGGAGCGAAAGGGUGGGGAGCAAAC
This 550-nucleotide ribosomal RNA is filed under the name Microbacterium sp. 01xTSA28A_D11. RNAcentral describes it as "bacterial SSU rRNA". It matches the Rfam family "Bacterial small subunit ribosomal RNA", at positions 211 to 773 of the family's 1533-position model. Lineage: Bacteria; Bacillati; Actinomycetota; Actinomycetes; Micrococcales; Microbacteriaceae. The record is from RNAcentral.